UUAUGGAAGUUCCUAGACCUCGAAGCUAGGCUGUUCUUUCCCCCUUAUUCUUGCGUUAAUAAUAUUUUGGUGCUUUCAUUGAGCUCCAAUGGCUGCCUUCUAUGGCAGCCAUGCCAACCCACACCACCUGCCAAACCACCUCUUUCCAUGGUAUCCUCUCCACACAGCCAUCCACCAUUAAUCAUUUCUGCAAGACCCAUUCCUUUUGUUUCAUCACACACAUUCUCUUUAUGUACAUCCAGCUCAAUCCCUUGAGAUUGAUUUUGAGAGCACCCGUAAACGUUUGCUAGGCUUGUUUGGUAUCGAGGGAACUCUUCCUCCAUCAUCUCCCACCUUACCCCCAAAAAUGGAAAGCAAUUUCCACGUAGAUGUUGCAGACUCUAGCAGCAGAGGAGACAUUGCGGGACAACUUGUAACACCACUUCACCCUGCCUUGCCUCUUGAGAGCAUAAACAACUUCCAUUGUGGUAACAAUCUUCCACCUCUCGUGCUCGAGGUAGGGAACCACGUCGACAAGAAAGUCCCUUGUGAC
This 532-nucleotide long non-coding RNA is filed under the name Glycine max (soybean). Its description in RNAcentral is "long non-coding RNA (GMAX_LNC003209)". Lineage: Eukaryota; Viridiplantae; Streptophyta; Magnoliopsida; Fabales; Fabaceae. The record is from RNAcentral.